Molecule: ribosomal RNA, 274 nt
Filed under: uncultured prokaryote
Description: partial 16S ribosomal RNA
Rfam family: Bacterial small subunit ribosomal RNA
Source: RNAcentral
UACGUAGGGGCUAGCGUUAUCCGGAUUUACUGGGCGUAAAGGGUGCGCAGGCGGGAGAUUAAGUCGGCGGUGAAAUUUUGCAGCUCAACUGUAAAAGUGCCUUCGAAACUGGUUUCCUUGAGUGUAGAUGAAGUAGGCGGAAUUUGUGGUGUAGCGGUGAAAUGCAUAGAUAUCACGAGGAACUCCGAUUGCGCAGGCAGCUUACUAAACUACUACUGACGCUCAGGCACGAAGGCGUGGGGAUCAAACAGGAUUAGAUACCCCGGUAGUCCCU